GCAGUCGAACGAGAAAGGCCGCUUCGGGCCUGAGUACAGUGGCGCACGGGUGAGUAACACGUGGAUAAUCUACCCGAUGGACCGGGAUAACACUUCGAAAGGGGUGCUAAUACCGGAUAAACCCACAAGCUCUUAGGAGCCCGCGGGAAGAGGGGGACUGCUUCGGGACUACCGCCCUCGGAUGAGUCCGCGGCCCAUUAGCUAGUUGGUGGGGGAAUGGCCUACCAAGGCAGCCAGGGAUGGCGGGCCGGAGAGGAGGAACUGCCACACUGGACCUAAUCCUCCGGCAGGACUCCUAGGGGAGGAUUGAGCGGGGAAUUAAACCCAGUGGGCGAAACCCCGACGGAGCGACGCCGGGUGAGUGAUGAAAGACCCCGGGCCGGAAAG
RNAcentral lists this ribosomal RNA (387 nucleotides) under uncultured bacterium. Its description in RNAcentral is "bacterial SSU rRNA". It matches the Rfam family "Bacterial small subunit ribosomal RNA", at positions 58 to 430 of the family's 1533-position model. The record is from RNAcentral.